CUCAGUUUCAAUAGAUUGACUGGAAAUCCUCCAGAACCAAAAAAAUAAAGAACUGGCAAUCUGUAUGGCGAACAACUUGCUAAAUGGAUCCAUCCCAGAAUGGAUCAUCAGAAGACCUAUAAAAAGUGCAAUCGAUAUUUCUUACAAUAAUUUUUCUGGAACUCCUGACCCAAGUUAUUGUCAACAAAAUCUGAAUUUGUUCAAAAGCAUAUCCGGAGGGAACAAUUCG
RNAcentral lists this unclassified non-coding RNA (229 nucleotides) under Hevea brasiliensis (rubber tree). Lineage: Eukaryota; Viridiplantae; Streptophyta; Magnoliopsida; Malpighiales; Euphorbiaceae. The record is from RNAcentral.